UACGUAGGUGGCAAGCGUUGUCCGGAAUUACUGGGUGUAAAGGGAGCGUAGGCGGGAAGGCAAGUUGAAUGUUAAAUCUAUGGGCUUAACCCAUAUCAGCGUUCAAAACUGCUUUUCUUGAAUGAAGUAGAGGCAGGCGGAAUUCCUAGUGUAGCGGUGAAAUGCGUAAAUAUUAGGAGGAACACCAGUGGCGAAGGCGGCCUGCUGGGCUUUAAUUGACGCUGAGGCUCGAAAGCGUGGGUAGCAAACA
RNAcentral lists this ribosomal RNA (250 nucleotides) under uncultured bacterium. RNAcentral's name for it is "partial 16S ribosomal RNA". It matches the Rfam family "Bacterial small subunit ribosomal RNA", at positions 524 to 774 of the family's 1533-position model. The record is from RNAcentral.